Long non-coding RNA from Eleginops maclovinus (Patagonian blennie), 469 nucleotides. RefSeq lists it as uncharacterized. NCBI's taxonomy places the organism in Eukaryota, Metazoa, Chordata, Actinopteri, Perciformes, Eleginopidae. The transcript is spliced from 3 exons. The record is from RefSeq and is a predicted model, not a curated record.
CUUUUAAGGAGGAGACAGAGCAAGAAUGUCGGAGUCUCCUGGGGAUGGCUAGUCGCUACGUCAUCAUAAAAACAGCCACUUCCGUGUCCACGCGCUAACCUUCUAAUGGUUUCUACUGGUGUCAGCGGCAGUACAAUGGUGCGGUGCUGUGUCCCGGGUUGUAGUAACAGAAAUGAUGUCGACAAAACCGAUUUCCCCUCGAUGAGAAAGAGAAGAAGAGAUGGCUGAAGUUGAUACGAUUGCAGGAGAGGAGCCGAGGACUCUUGCCAGUUCCAAACCAACACCUGGGACCAAAGGAACAUCAUGAUAUCAAACAAGUUAAAAUGUGCUCAAGCUAAAGAUAAAGAGGUAAUGUGAAAACACUGUGAAGGAAACACUGAAGAGGAACAGAAGAAGACUCCUUCGUUAAACACGACCACUAAUGGACGGAUGGAUAAAGAAAAGGACACGUGUAUCAUAAAACUAUGAC